AGUGAACGCUGGCGGUAGGCCUAACACAUGCAAGUCGAACGGCAGCACAGGAGAGCUUGCUCUCUGGGUGGCGAGUGGCGGACGGGUGAGGAAUACAUCGGAAUCUACUCUGUCGUGGGGGAUAACGUAGGGAAACUUACGCUAAUACCGCAUACGACCUACGGGUGAAAGCAGGGGAUCUUCGGACCUUGCGCGAUUGAAUGAGCCGAUGUCGGAUUAGCUAGUUGGCGGGGUAAAGGCCCACCAAGGCGACGAUCCGUAGCUGGUCUGAGAGGAUGAUCAGCCACACUGGACCUGAGACACGGUCCAGACUCCUACGGGAGUCAGCAGUGGGGAAUAUUGGACAAUGGGCGCAAGCCUGAUCCAGCCAUACCGCGUGGGUGAAGAAGGCCUUCGGGUUGUAAAGCCCUUUUGUUGGGAAAGAAAUCCAGCUGGCUAAUACCCGGUUGGGAUGACGGUACCCAAAGAAUAAGCACCGGCUAACUUCGUGCCAGCAGCCGCAGUAA
RNAcentral lists this ribosomal RNA (506 nucleotides) under uncultured bacterium. Its description in RNAcentral is "partial 16S ribosomal RNA". It matches the Rfam family "Bacterial small subunit ribosomal RNA", at positions 29 to 523 of the family's 1533-position model. The record is from RNAcentral.